UACAAUGUAUUGAUUCUUCGUCUUAUUUGAAUUUCUUUUGCGAUUAAUAUUUUUGUUGUUGCUAGAUAAUAAAAUAUAAAUAGUACUUUAUGCGUGACUAAUUUUUUUUAAAAAUUUGUACAAAUUUUUUAAAUAAGACGAAUGGUUAAACAUUAGAAACAGAAAUC
RNAcentral lists this microRNA precursor (167 nucleotides) under Oryza brachyantha (malo sina). Its description in RNAcentral is "MIR812 microRNA precursor family". It matches the Rfam family "MIR812 microRNA precursor family", at positions 27 to 189 of the family's 205-position model. Lineage: Eukaryota; Viridiplantae; Streptophyta; Magnoliopsida; Poales; Poaceae. The record is from Rfam by way of RNAcentral.